GGAUAGAAAAAGUGAUGACUAAGCCACGUUACAAGCGUGAGCGAGACGUGCCCGGUGGGUUCAAAGAAGACGCUGCCGACGGACCAAGGAACAGGGCUCACACAGCACCGAGGAAGGCUGGACAUUGCAUCGCUCUGUACACUUGUGGUGUGAUCUGAAUCACGAUGCCCCGAGGGUGCCUCAGUUAGGCUUUUAGUCUCCCAAGGACUUCGGUAGCCAUACCAGGUAAAAGCAGUAUACAUUACUGUAAUAUGCUGCUGUGUUUAAAUGUAGAAAAAUGUCUUGGGCUCUGGCUAAAGCAGAGGUGACUGUGUCUUCCGCGAUGGUACCCUGAAAAAGGCCAACUAGGGCAUCCCUGCUGAUGCACCUUAAAUUCCAUCUCCUGGGAAAUGAAGACCCCAACAUGUAGAUCUGGGAUCCCCCUUCUAGAUGUUCUCAAGAAACCCAGUUGCUUUGCUGGCCUUGGGGAUGUCAGGAUGAACUUUGAAUCUAUCCAGUCAACGUUCAGUUGGAGAAUAAAUUUUUCCCUCCUG
Ornithorhynchus anatinus (platypus) is the source of this 533-nucleotide long non-coding RNA. RefSeq lists it as uncharacterized. The transcript has 2 exons. The record is from RefSeq and is a predicted model, not a curated record. NCBI's taxonomy places the organism in Eukaryota, Metazoa, Chordata, Mammalia, Monotremata, Ornithorhynchidae.